This 522-nucleotide ribosomal RNA is filed under the name uncultured Alternaria. RNAcentral's name for it is "eukaryotic LSU rRNA". The stretch from base 175 to 328 matches the Rfam family "5.8S ribosomal RNA". The record is from RNAcentral. Lineage: Eukaryota; Fungi; Ascomycota; Dothideomycetes; Pleosporales; Pleosporaceae.
GGAUCAUUACACAAAUAUGAAGGCGGGCUGGAACCUCUCGGGGUUACAGCCUUGCUGAAUUAUUCACCCUUGUCUUUUGCGUACUUCUUGUUUCCUUGGUGGGUUCGCCCACCACUAGGACAAACAUAAACCUUUUGUAAUUGCAAUCAGCGUCAGUAACAAAUUAAUAAUUACAACUUUCAACAACGGAUCUCUUGGUUCUGGCAUCGAUGAAGAACGCAGCGAAAUGCGAUAAGUAGUGUGAAUUGCAGAAUUCAGUGAAUCAUCGAAUCUUUGAACGCACAUUGCGCCCUUUGGUAUUCCAAAGGGCAUGCCUGUUCGAGCGUCAUUUGUACCCUCAAGCUUUGCUUGGUGUUGGGCGUCUUGUCUCUAGCUUUGCUGGAGACUCGCCUUAAAGUAAUUGGCAGCCGGCCUACUGGUUUCGGAGCGCAGCACAAGUCGCACUCUCUAUCAGCAAAGGUCUAGCAUCCAUUAAGCCUUUUUUCAACUUUUGACCUCGGAUCAGGUAGGGAUACCCGCUGA